RNAcentral lists this ribosomal RNA (253 nucleotides) under uncultured bacterium. RNAcentral's name for it is "partial 16S ribosomal RNA". It matches the Rfam family "Bacterial small subunit ribosomal RNA", at positions 524 to 776 of the family's 1533-position model. The record is from RNAcentral.
UACGUAGGUGGCAAGCGUUGUCCGGAAUUACUGGGCGUAAAGCGUGCGUAGGCGGUUCGUUAAGUCUGAUGUGAAAGCCCUGGGCUCAACCUGGGAAUGGCAUUGGAAACUGUCGAACUAGAGUGCGGUAGAGGGGAGUGGAAUUCCCGGUGUAGCAGUGAAAUGCGUAGAGAUCGGGAGGAACAUCUGUGGCGAAGGCGACUGCCUGGACCAGCACUGACACUGAGGCACGAAAGCGUGGGGAGCAAACAGG